This 66-nucleotide transfer RNA is filed under the name Pseudomonas sp. RNAcentral describes it as "tRNA-Asp". It matches the Rfam family "tRNA", at positions 1 to 63 of the family's 71-position model. From Rfam's summary of the family: Transfer RNA (tRNA) molecules are approximately 80 nucleotides in length. Their secondary structure includes four short double-helical elements and three loops (D, anti-codon, and T loops). Lineage: Bacteria; Pseudomonadati; Pseudomonadota; Gammaproteobacteria; Pseudomonadales; Pseudomonadaceae. The record is from RNAcentral.
GCGGCGGUAGUUCAGUCGGUUAGAAUACCGGCCUGUCACGCCGGGGGUCGCGGGUUCGAGUCCCGU